UAGUUCGAUCGCGAGCGCUGCCGUCGGGAGGCUGCUCCGAGGUUCGAGGCUGUGCCCCGCGACCCCGCCUUCGGCGCUCGGCUCGCAGGAUGGAUCCCGUACCCGGGACAGACUCCGUGCCGCUGGCUGGCCUGGCCUGGUCGUCGGCCUCUGCACCCCCGCCGCGGGGUUUCAGCGCGAUCUCCUGCACCGUCGAGGGGGCACCCGCCAGCUUUGGCAAGAGCUUCGCGCAGAAAUCUGGCUACUUCCUGUGCCUUAGUUCUCUGGGCAGCCUAGAGAACCCGCAGGAGAACGUGGUGGCCGAUAUCCAGAUCGUGGUGGACAAGAGCGCCCUGCCGCUGGGCUUCUCCCCGGUCUGCGACCCCAUGGAUUCCAGUAAGCCCUGCUUCGGAGGCGAGAGUUGUCCGGGUCCCUUGCAGGGAGCAGCGGGGGAGGAGGGACGACGGGCGCGCGGUAUCUGAGCCUCGGCUGCCCCCUGGCACCCGGGGUGAUGACAGGGUUGGCUGAGGACUCAGAGCCCUGCCCUAGGGUGGACCGACAUCCCCUGUCCUGAUUCAAAAUGUGUGAUGUGAUUGAUACAGCCUCCAUCGUCGAAUUAAGAGUUCAGUCCACGCCACCUGUUUCACUACUGUUGUGCUACUUGUGUCUUUUUACACCAUAGCCAAGCAAAACCACUGCGCAGUUCUCUUUUUCAUUUCCAGGCUGCACACGCCGCUUCCUCUGCCUGGGGCACUUUUUCUCUCCUUUUUGUAGCUCAUUCUUCGUUCUCCCUCAGAUGUCACCUU
Molecule: small RNA, 785 nt
Filed under: Pongo abelii (Sumatran orangutan)
Lineage: Eukaryota; Metazoa; Chordata; Mammalia; Primates; Hominidae
Description: retained intron
Source: RNAcentral